RNAcentral lists this ribosomal RNA (309 nucleotides) under Triticum aestivum (bread wheat). RNAcentral describes it as "partial small subunit ribosomal RNA". The record is from RNAcentral. Lineage: Eukaryota; Viridiplantae; Streptophyta; Magnoliopsida; Poales; Poaceae.
AUGGAUUUGUUUUGCGCCGGGGAUGAGUUUUUGCUGGCCAAGUGCAAGGAGACAUGCUCCUGGUUUCUGAGCGCGAAGUCUCUCAUGAUGCACUCGUUGGCCCUGGCGUUGGAAGUGACUACGGACGAGCGGAAGCGGUUACUUCCUAAGGGCAAGGGGGCAGUCCCAAUUGAUAUUCUCCAGUGGGCAAUGGCAGAGGCGAUGGAGUCUCCAGCUCACCGACAGCGAGCCCGCCGGUACGAAUACCACUCCCGCCACUCCUCAUCGAAUCCAGAGGCGGAAGGGCCGGUGAAUUUGCGUAUUAUCUAG